CAAAUUUUUUUGUUUGUUUACAUUUGAGCAACGAGAAUGAAUUCUGAGAAAAAGAUGUUAAUUGCGAAAGCAUUGGUUUUAAGAAGCCAAAUAAAUAUCCUGCUCAUCGACAAUUCUUCAAGAGAACUAUUGGAAUGUCUUACUACUCAGCACCAUGCCUUGGCAAAAAAGAUAGCCGAGUUAAAGAAACAACAUCUAAUCGUAUUAGAUUUAAAAAAGGACCUUGGGAUGCCGAUUAAUUCAUGUUGGACAAAACAAUGUAAGAAUCAGUUUUGGGAACACGAUUGCCAACGAAACGGAUCUGCUUUUUUUAAAGAGAACUUUCGCAUGAACCGAAGUUCCUUUGAUAAAUUAUGUGACAUCCUCCGCCCGUUACAAAAAAUGGAUACAAAUUACCGAAAAGCUAUUCCUAUCGAGAAAAGAGUGGCUAUAACAUUUUUUGCUUUAGGGUCAUCUGCAGAGUAUCGUAGUAUCGCCAACAUGUUCGGUGUAGGAAAAUCUACGGUUUGCGAAAUUUUACUGGAAUUUUGCACUGAAAUCUGGAGAUUACUGCAGCCAUCCUGUUUUAAAAUGUUGCCUCUAAACAGAGAAAAUAUAAUCGAAUUGGUGACUGGUUUCGAGGUAAUUGGAUUCCCAAAAUGCUUAGGAGCAAUUGACGGAUGCCACAUUGAGAUUCAUCCAUAAUCUGACGGAGCUGUUGAUUAUUAUAAUUAUAAAGGAUGGUAUUCCACCGUUUUAAUGCCAUUAGUUGAUGCUAAAAACCGUUUUACUUACAUAAACGUAGGAAGUCCCGGGCGAUGUAAUGACUCUCAAAUUUAUGAGACGUCAUCACUUAAAAAAGAAAUGGAUAGUUGUCCUUUACUAAGCGAAAUGUCUAGAGAAAUUUCAGGCGUAAAUGUGCCAGUAUUCAUUAUUGGGGAUUCGGCUUUUCGAUUUAGCAAACAACUAAUGAAACCGCAAUCAUUUAGCGUAAAUCAAAAUAAUGGUGAGAAGGUAUUCAACUACGCUCUUUCGAAAACACGUAGAGUUGUCGAAAAUGCUUUCGGACACCUCAAGGCCCGCUUUCGACGCAUCGGAAAAGGAAUUGACAACUCUGUAUGGAACUCCAUAAUAAAAGCAUGUUGCGUCCUUCACAAUUUUUUAAAUGAUAACAACGACUCGCUAAACGCUAAAUGGUUACGCGCUUUGGAAGAGUUGGAGACUAGACGCCAGAAUCCGGAGAAUUCCAGAGAAUCCAGAAUUAAUGGAGAAAUGAUUCGGACAGCACUUUGAACAAAUUGUGCAUCACCCGGCUCCGGAGACGGUACUGGUAGCGAAGAAGUAUCGCUUGGCGACAUCGGCAUAGCUGAGGGCGAUGGUAGGCAAACCGGUGAUGACAAUGGAGAUGCAGCAACGAAUGUAGAAAACGCAGCCGUUUCCACCGAAAUUUGGAGUGGUUCAGAG
This is a long non-coding RNA of Bactrocera tryoni, 1443 nucleotides long. RefSeq lists it as uncharacterized. The record is from RefSeq and is a predicted model, not a curated record. The transcript has 6 exons. Lineage: Eukaryota; Metazoa; Arthropoda; Insecta; Diptera; Tephritidae.